UUCGCAAUGCCCGAAAGGGUGACGAAGCGACGCCGCGUGUGGGAAGAAGGCCUUCGGGUUGUAAACCACUGUCGGGAGUUAAGAAAUGCAAGGAUAUUAAUAGUGUCUUUGUUUGACUAAGGCUCCGGAGGAAGCCACGGCUAACUCUGUGCCAGCAGCCGCGGUAAUACAGAGGCGGCAAGCGUUGUUCGGAGUUAUUGGGCGUAAAGAGCACGUAGGCGGCUAUGUAAGUCGGUUGUGAAAGCCUUCCGCUCAACGGAAGAACAGCAUCCGAUACUACAUGGCUUGAGUGCGGGAGGGGAGAGUGGAACUUCUGGUGGAGCGGUGAAAUGCGUAGAUAUCAGAAGGAACGCCGGCGGCGAAAGCGGCUCUCUGGCCCAUAACUGACGCUGAGUGUGCGAAAGCUAGGGGAGCAAACGGGAUUAGAUACCCCGGUAGUCCUAGCCGUAAACGAUGGGCACUAAGUAGAGGGGUUUU
RNAcentral lists this ribosomal RNA (477 nucleotides) under uncultured bacterium. RNAcentral describes it as "bacterial SSU rRNA". It matches the Rfam family "Bacterial small subunit ribosomal RNA", at positions 365 to 832 of the family's 1533-position model. The record is from RNAcentral.